UUUUUGCCUUUUCUAGGGCCGCUCCCACGGCAUAUGGAAGUUCGCAGGCUAGGGGUCGAAUCAGAGCUGUAACCACUGGCCUACACCAGAGCCACAGCAACGUGGGAUCCGAGCCACACCACAGCUCACGGCAAUGCCAGAUCCUUUACCCGCUGAGCAAGGCCAGGGAUCGAACCUGCAACCUCAUCAUUCCUAGUCGGAUUCGUUAACCACUAUGCCACAACGGGAACUCCCAGCAUCAGCAUUUAGAUUGACAUCAGGCAAGUGCUCAGCGCUUUCCUAAGUCCCACAUAACCUUCCCAUCUUACAGAGGAGCAAACUGAGGCGCAGGACAGCUACACUUUGCCGCAGUGACACAGUGGCCUGUCUCUUAUCUCCUGGGUCCAGGUGCAGCAGCAGCCAUCACACCAGUCCAGCAGGUGCACCAGGUGACAAGGAACUUCCCGGUUCACACUAAGCACCCAGGGUCCUGUGGUUUGGCCAGCCCUGGCAGUAUGGCACGCCAGCCCCUGGGCCCAUGGGGAGGGUGGACAGGCAGGAAAGGCAGCCUCUCAUAGCUCCUGCCCACUGGCCCUCGGCCACCCCUGCACGGCGUCUCCUUGGCCUCCUGCACGCCCCCCCACCAAGUUUCAGCCAGCAGUGUGCUCUCACCCCCAUCCUGGUCCCCCGUGAAAGGUCGUGGGGGGCUGAGGCCAGCCUGACGGGAGCCCGGAGCCCAGACUGGCUUCGGCUUGAAUGUUCAGAGGUGCAGUUGUUACUGCCUCGUGAGGACAGGAAUGGACAUGAAUGGGGGGCCACCUCGGCCCCUCCUGCCACAUACCCUCUUGGAAAAUAGGAAUGAACCAGUCUGAGCUUUACCACGCAUGGGUGUGUGGCGGGGAGGACCUGCUCACCUAAACCUCUCCCGCCCUCACCACCCCGACCCAUGCAAAUCCCUCAGCAGCUGUCACAGCCCGCACUGCAGGGCCAGCUGGGCCAGCUGGGCAACGGGACUGAGCGGUGGGGGCCCGGGCUUCCUCCCAGGGCCCUCCCCACACUGCUGGCUUUGUUUUGCAUGGGGCGGGCAGGGGUGGGUGGUGCUUCAGAGAGGCCAGGAGCAGACUCCAAAGAUGCUUUAUGCCAGGUCUUGUGGGCCUGACAGCAGAAAGCCUGCCCGCCCUGCCGGCCUGCCUUUGCUCUGGAAGUGGAAGUGGCAGGGGUUGCUGGAGGGGUGCUUUUAGCCCUGGUGGUUAGACGUGGGGCCCCUGGGUUGGGCUGCCCAGCUUUAAAUCCUGGCUUAUCACUUCCUAGCUGUGUGAUCUCCAGCAAGUUGCCUGCCCUCUCUGGGCCUCAGCUAUCCCUUCUGUAUCCUGUGGACAGCAAGGGUCGCCGUGUCCCAGGAAGGGGUGAGGAAGUGAAUGAGAAGACGCCUGCAAAGUAUUACCGAGGGUGCCACCUGACCCUGGCCCGGCGCUCAGAAAAUGCCAGCCAACAGCCAACAGCCAUGAUAAUUCAUGGGGGCCAAUCUCGGAGCUUCCCCCUUGCCAGCAUCCAACGGAGGCCUAGUGCACGCUGGAGAGCAGGUGGCGGCGCCCACAGCCCAGAAGGGACCAGGGCGGCUUGAGCGGCGGUCUCCAGCACCCCACUGGGAUAGAUGCGAACUUGAGCCAAUGCCUCUUGGCUGUGUGACCUUGGCAAGUUCUCAACCUCUCUGGGCCUCGGUCCUCACCAAGCAAACAGGGAUAAGUGGGCCCUUCUCAGGAAAUGGCACUGGAAGGACUCAGGAAGAAGGUGUGCUGAGCGCAGGCUCCGUGCCAGGCCCAUGGUGAGCCCAGCACUCUGCUGCUCUCAGCGUCUGCCCUCUCAGGGCGCUGCCUGGGCACUGGUUUUGGGGGCCCAUCAGAGAAGGAGCCUCUUUACCCGACGCUUGCCUCUCGGCACCUACAACCUCAUUCAUCCCGGACUCGCUGGCAGCCACCAGCGGCAGUUUCCAGAAACCAAUGCCCACCUCCCCAGAGAUGAGAGCCGUCCAGGCUCCAAGGACCUGCAACGCUGCCCAACGUGACCACGGAAGGAGGGGAGGCCUGGGCGCUGGCAGAUCGCCAAGCCUGCCUCUGACUUGGGAGGGGACAGCAGCGUUUGUGCUGUCAGCCUCGGGUGACUGUUUGAGUAACUCCUUUUGUCUCCUCCAGGUCAACGUGGGCUUCUCUUUCUUCAGCCUGGAACGCCCUGUCCUGGGCCAUCAGACAGAGGCUUGUCGGGGCGCCUCCGAAACACCACCUCUUUCAGGAAGCCUGCCUGGGUUGACGGUCCCCACCAGCACCAGCACUGCUCCCACAGAAGCGCUGCCCUCAACAUCCCAGGCUGGCGCCAAAAUUAACCUUGAGAUCGGGUCUGACGGUUCCGAGGGAGACGGUCGGGGGGCGGGCGCAUGGACCCCCUGGCGGAAGUAGGAAGGGUGGCCUUGGCAUUCAAGGCUCACAUGAGCCAGACCCCCACCGUUCUCCCCUACUUCCUUCUCCUGAAGCCCCAAGCUCCCCUCAGCAUGUCUCAGGAACUGAUUUUUCAGGCCGGCGCAGGUCGGGCAGGGAUUGGGUCCCCGACAGCAGAGGGGCGCUGGAUUCCAGUCCCCAGCCCCUUAGCCCCCAGCAUGGGUGCCUUGCAUGGAUGCUGACAGUCUGCCUCCCUGCUUCC
RNAcentral lists this long non-coding RNA (2673 nucleotides) under Sus scrofa (pig). Its description in RNAcentral is "lncRNA (ENSSSCG00005020404.1)". The record is from RNAcentral. Lineage: Eukaryota; Metazoa; Chordata; Mammalia; Artiodactyla; Suidae.